This 253-nucleotide unclassified non-coding RNA is filed under the name Hevea brasiliensis (rubber tree). Lineage: Eukaryota; Viridiplantae; Streptophyta; Magnoliopsida; Malpighiales; Euphorbiaceae. The record is from RNAcentral.
AGUCAUCUCACAUUCAAUUCUUGCAAUUCACAUACUCAUUUGUACAAAUCCAUUCAUUCUCAACUCAUAUGUGAAAAUUCUCAAUCUUCAUUUAUUUUCAUGAUAUAAAAUUUAAUCACAUAUGAACUAACUGAUUUAUUAAUUUAUAACACAUAAAUAUUAAUUAUAAUUUUCUAGUUUACAUUACAACAUAAGAAAUAUUUAUACUAUACAAAAUACAUAAAAUGACUAAUGUGAGCCCUAUCUACAUGCA